This 546-nucleotide ribosomal RNA is filed under the name uncultured bacterium. RNAcentral describes it as "bacterial SSU rRNA". It matches the Rfam family "Bacterial small subunit ribosomal RNA", at positions 777 to 1339 of the family's 1533-position model. The record is from RNAcentral.
AAUAGAUACCGGGUAGUCCACGCCGUAAACGAUGGAUGCUAGCUGUAGGGGGUAUCGACCCCUUCUGUAGCGAAGCUAACGCGUUAAGCAUCCCGCCUGUGGAGUACGGCCGCAAGGCUAAAACAUAAAGGAAUUGACGGGGACCCGCACAAGCGGUGGAUCGUGUUCUUUAAUUCGACGAUAAACGGAGAACCUUACCAGGGCUUGACAUCCUUGGAAUUUCUGCGAAAGCAGUUAGUGCCUUUUGGAACCAAGUGACAGGUGAUGCAUGGCCGUCGUCAGCUCGUGUCGUGAGAUGUUUGGUUAAGUCCAUCAACGAGCGCAACCCUUAUGUUUAGUUGUAUUUUCUAAACAGACUGCCCGGUAACGGGGAGGAAGGAGGGGAUGAUGUCAGGUCAGUAUUUCCCUUACGUCCUGGGCUAGAAACACGAUACAAUGGCUAGUACAAUGCGCAGCGAAGCCGCGAGGUGGAGCAAAUCGCACCAAAGCUAGUCCCAGUUCGGAUUGGAGGCUGAAACUCGCCUCCAUGAAGUCGGAAUCGCUAGU